CCACAGGGAGCCUUGCUUGCACCCAAGCAACUGCUGCCGGAGGAAUUCUCCCUGUGAAGGUCAGCAGGAGCUCCUUAAGUGAGGCCGGCGGAGCAGGCCGAGGGUCCAGAAAUGGGAACGCCGGUUUGGUGAUCCAAACGGGAGGAUGCCCAAGAGCAGGAUCCCGCCCCCACUGUGUCCUAGUCACUCAUUUUUGCAUCUUUUUAAUCAGCUAUAUAUUUGAAAAGGAAAAAAGAACAAAUAUCUAUAUAUCUA
Molecule: long non-coding RNA, 255 nt
Organism: Candoia aspera
Lineage: Eukaryota; Metazoa; Chordata; Lepidosauria; Squamata; Candoiidae
Exons: 2
Source: RefSeq, a predicted model, not a curated record